AACUGGUUGAUCCUGCCAGUCGUUAUAUGCUUCGUUCAAGGGUUAAGCCAUGCAAGUGUCUGAGCAAGCCAGUGGCAUCUUGGUGUUACAAAGUCGGGUCUGUGAACAGCUCAUUCAAACAGUCAAAACAGAUACGGUUACGAAGUGAGAUUUCUCAAAACAGCGGACAACCAACUAAACCGAUUGGCUAAUACGGCGGCUCGGACGUGCCGGGUUACUCGUGGACUGGUAUGGCAACAGAAAAACAGUCUCUCCCCGGUGCGCAUCCAAAUGGUUGAAAAAUUGGCGUACCUCACGGUUAUGCGCUGCCCCGUUGAAACAGUUUGGAGGAAUGCAUGGACGGAUCACCCGUCAGAUCGUUCAGAUCUCUGAUCCAUCAGCUAGUUGGCCUUGAAAAGUACUGUCAAAGCGUUUACGGAUACAGAGAAUCAGGGUUCGACUCUGGAGAGGGAGCCUGAGAAACGGCUACCACUACCAAGGUUGGCAGCAGGCGCGAAAACUACCCAAAUGGCAACACAGCUGAGGUGGCAACGAACAGUAGCACGAAUUUGCCUCUAUAGGGCGAGCUCCUGCAAUGAGUGUUCAACCAAAUACAUCACUGAGGAUCAAAUGGAGGGCAAGUCUGGUGCCAGCAGCCGCGGUAAUUCCAGCUCCAUAAGCGUAUGCGAAUGCUGUUGCUGUUAAAAAGCUCGUAGUUCUGUGAUGAUCUCCGGGGUUCCAUGGUGGUGUUCCUUGCAACGGGGGGGUGUGGUGGGGGGACUCCCCCUCAUCCCUCCCUCCGCGCGGGAAAAAAAGGCUGCUCGGAAAAACCAGGAGGCGAAGUGGGCACGAAUUGUGGAAGCAUCCUUAACUGGUUGUGAAAACAGAAAAACGCUUUCGUCAUAAGUACAGUAGGAUUGCCCAAGUGUUACCGUGAGCGAAUCAAUGUGUUCAACGCAGCCCGUACCAACCGGCAGAAUAUUCAAGCAUGGCAUAACAGUGAAGCGAUCGUAAGUGCAACCGUUUGCUGAUUUUAGGGUGCUUAUCGAACAGCGGGAAUAAUCCGUGUCUUAAGAAUCGUCUUGAACACGGACUUUCCUUCGAAGCAAACAGGGGUGUGUGGUGUGCUCUGAACUACCCUAUGAGGAGUGAAACCCAAUGACGUCCGUAAGAUAGCCAGACGCGGAGGCGUAGUUCCCUUCUCAAAGAUGCGGCUGUUGAUCAAGAACGUGAGUCUAGAGAUCGAAGAUGAUUAGAUACCGUCGUAGUCUAUACCGUAAACGGUGCGAACCAUUGUCGUGGGUGGAAUUUCGUGGCAAACCUUUGUAACAAUCUUGUACGACAACUAGUGCACCCCCGCAACCAUAUGUUUCAAUUUGACGCGAAAGCUCGAGUCUUCACGCUCAGGGGGAAGUAUGGUCACAAGGCUGAAACUUAAAGGAAUUGACGGAAUGACACCACAAGGCGUGGAGUGUGCGGCUUAAUUUGACUCAACGCGGGGAAGCUUAUCAGGUCCGGACGCCAGGUGGAUUGACAGAUUGAAGCCCUUUCAUGAUCAGGCGAAUGGUGGUGCAUGGCCGCUCCUAGUUGGUGAAUUACUUUGUCUGCCUUAUUGCGAUAACGAACGAGAUCCUACCGGUGCUUAAUAGAGUGUUUACCCGCUUUAAUGGGACUGUGAUUCGAGAAAUGUGAGCAAUUGUGGAUUGAGGAGAGCGUUUUAGCCCGGAGGGAAUGUUCAACUGCUUAACUGGGCUGUGUGCGAUUCAAGUGCAAUUAAAUAGGUCGAUAGCAGGUCUGUGAUGCUCUUCGACGUUCUGGGCUGCACGCGUACGACACUGAAACAGCAAACACGUUAACUUCAACUUUUCUGGACCUUCUUUGAGUAGAGAGGGAAAUCGUAAAACUGUAUCGUGAUGGGGAUAGCUCUAAUUGAAAUUAUUAGUCUUGAACGAGGAAUGCCUCGUAAAGGUCGCUCAACAAACAGUCUUGAUUAGGUCCCUGCCAUUUGUACACACCGCCCGUCGUUGCUACCGAUGGUUUAGAUGUAGAGGCUGAUAGAAAGUUCUGCCUGUGUUCUAUACACGCGCUUAUUUGAAUUCCACCAAUACGUCUCCGUUAGAGGAAGCAAAAGUCGUAACAAGGUUGCUGUAGGUGAACCUGCAGCAGGAUCACU
Molecule: ribosomal RNA, 2152 nt
Filed under: Hemiolia limnas
Lineage: Eukaryota; Euglenozoa
Description: partial small subunit ribosomal RNA
Rfam family: Eukaryotic small subunit ribosomal RNA
Source: RNAcentral